Capsicum annuum is the source of this 497-nucleotide long non-coding RNA. RefSeq lists it as uncharacterized. The record is from RefSeq and is a predicted model, not a curated record. The transcript has 3 exons. NCBI's taxonomy places the organism in Eukaryota, Viridiplantae, Streptophyta, Magnoliopsida, Solanales, Solanaceae.
ACAAAAUAAAAGAAAAGAAAACUUAAAACAAAUAAAAAGAAAUCUAAUCGACAAAAAGGGGAAGUGUGGUUUAGCUAAGUCUUGAAGCUUCCAUGGAUGUCGGGCUUCAUCUCAGCCAACGUCGACCGCCGCUUUCAGGUUCCAUCUCAAUACAUCUCAUAAGAUCUCAUCGAAUGCUAUGAUAAUCGAUUCCAUAUGAAAAUUUCUUCAAGAUGUGAAUUUGUAGAAUCAAUUCAAAUCCCAAGGUUGAACCUCAUAAAGAGGUUAAUACCACUACUUAAUUUCAGAAGAAUCGAAGCUCGGUCAAACAAGCUAUUUUAGUAUACUGUAUUCUAUUUCUAAUGAGUUUGAGGUACUGUUAUAUUUCUGUUGUAACCUAAAUUUUGACUGAUUGUUGACUGCUUAUUACCUUCCACUGCAUGCAUUGACUAAAUUGUAUUCCUAUUUCUUGUAUUUUUGAUCUCUUAAAAAUGAAGCCUUGAAAUUCUUUGUUUAUC